RNAcentral lists this transfer RNA (73 nucleotides) under Zootermopsis nevadensis. It matches the Rfam family "tRNA". Rfam says of the family: Transfer RNA (tRNA) molecules are approximately 80 nucleotides in length. The record is from Rfam by way of RNAcentral. Lineage: Eukaryota; Metazoa; Arthropoda; Insecta; Blattodea; Termopsidae.
GCCACGGUGGUCUAGCGGUUAGAACGCUGGCCUUGUAAUCCUGGGGUCUCGGGUUCGAAUCCCGGCGGUUCCC